UGAACGCUGGCGGCGUGCCUAAUACAUGCAAGUCGAGCGAACGGACGAGAAGCUUGCUUCUCUGAUGUUAGCGGCGGACGGGUGAGUAACACGUGGAUAACCUACCUAUAAGACUGGGAUAACUUCGGGAAACCGGAGCUAAUACCGGAUAAUAUUUUGAACCGCAUGGUUCAAAAGUGAAAGACGGUCUUGCUGUCACUUAUAGAUGGAUCCGCGCUGCAUUAGCUAGUUGGUUAGGUAACGGCUUACCAAGGCAACGAUGCAUAGCCGACCUGAGAGGGUGAUCGGCCACACUGGAACUGAGACACGGUCCAGACUCCUACGGGAGGCAGCAGUAGGGAAUCUUCCGCAAUGGGCGAAAGCCUGACGGAGCAACGCCGCGUGAGUGAUGAAGGUCUUCGGAUCGUAAAACUCUGUUAUUAGGGAAGAACAUAUGUGUAAGUAACUGUGCACAUCUUGACGGUACCUAAUCAGAAAGCCACGGCUAACUACGUG
Molecule: ribosomal RNA, 495 nt
Filed under: uncultured bacterium
Lineage: Bacteria
Description: partial 16S ribosomal RNA
Rfam family: Bacterial small subunit ribosomal RNA
Source: RNAcentral